GACGAACGCUGGCGGCGUGCUUAACACAUGCAAGUCGAACGGAAAGGCCCUGCUUUUGUGGGGUGCUCGAGUGGCGAACGGGUGAGUAACACGUGAGUAACCUGCCCUUGACUUUGGGAUAACUUCAGGAAACUGGGGCUAAUACCGGAUAGGAGCUCCUGCUGCAUGGUGGGGGUUGGAAAGUUUCGGCGGUUGGGGAUGGACUCGCGGCUUAUCAGCUUGUUGGUGGGGUAGUGGCUUACCAAGGCUUUGACGGGUAGCCGGCCUGAGAGGGUGACCGGCCACAUUGGGGAUGGGAUACGGCCCCGACUCCUACGGGAGGCAGCGGUGGGGAAUAUUGCACAAUGGGCGGAAGCCUGAUGCAGCAACGCCGCGUGCGGGAUGACGGCCUUCGGGUUGUAAACCGCUUUCGCCUGUGACGAAGCGUGAGUGACGGUAAUGGGUAAAGAAGCACCGGCUAACUACGUG
RNAcentral lists this ribosomal RNA (468 nucleotides) under uncultured bacterium. Its description in RNAcentral is "partial 16S ribosomal RNA". It matches the Rfam family "Bacterial small subunit ribosomal RNA", at positions 28 to 507 of the family's 1533-position model. The record is from RNAcentral.